GACAGAGGUUGCAAACGUUGAUCGGAAUCACUGGGCAUAAAGCGCACGUAGGCGGUCUAUUAAGUCAGGCGUGAAAGCCCCCGGCCCAACCGGGGAACAGUAUCUGAUACUGGCAGACUCGUGGAUGGUAGGGGUGAGUGGAACUCCAGGUGGCGCGGUGAAAUGCGUAGAUAUCUGGAGGAACACCGGUGGCGAACGCGGCUCACUGGACCAUACCUGACGCUGAGGUGCGAAAGUUAGGGUAGCAAACGGG
Molecule: ribosomal RNA, 253 nt
Filed under: uncultured bacterium
Lineage: Bacteria
Description: partial 16S ribosomal RNA
Rfam family: Bacterial small subunit ribosomal RNA
Source: RNAcentral